This 253-nucleotide ribosomal RNA is filed under the name uncultured bacterium. RNAcentral describes it as "partial 16S ribosomal RNA". It matches the Rfam family "Bacterial small subunit ribosomal RNA", at positions 524 to 776 of the family's 1533-position model. The record is from RNAcentral.
UACUUAGGGGGCAAGCGUUGUCCGGAUUUAUUGGGCGUAAAGAGCGUGUAGGCGGCCAGACAGGUCCGUUGUGAAAACUAGAGGCUUAACCUCUAGACGUCGAUGGAAACCGUCUGGCUAGAGUCCGGAAGAGGAGAAUGGAAUUCCUGGUGUAGCGGUGAAAUGCGCAGAUAUCAGGAAGAACACCCGUGGCUAAGGCGGUUCUCUAGUACGGUACUGACGCUGAGACGCGAAAGCGUGGGGAGCGAACAGG